This 448-nucleotide ribosomal RNA is filed under the name uncultured bacterium. Its description in RNAcentral is "partial 16S ribosomal RNA". It matches the Rfam family "Bacterial small subunit ribosomal RNA", at positions 71 to 523 of the family's 1533-position model. The record is from RNAcentral.
AAUCCUUGAAAAAGAAGAUCAAGAAACUUCGAAGAAGCUUUCUUGAUGGAGGGGAGCGGCAGACGGGUGAGUAACGCGUGGGAAUCUACCGUACCCUACGGAAUAGCUCUGGGAAACUGGAGGUAAUACCGUAUACGCCCUAACGGGGAAAGAUUUAUCGGGGUAUGAUGAGCCCGCGUUGGAUUAGCUAGUUGGUGGGGUAAAGGCCUACCAAGGCGACGAUCCAUAGCUGGUCUGAGAGGAUGAUCAGCCACAUUGGGACUGAGACACGGCCCAAACUCCUACGGGAGGCAGCAGUGGGGAAUAUUGGACAAUGGGCGCAAGCCUGAUCCAGCCAUGCCGCGUGAGUGAUGAAGGUCUUAGGAUUGUAAGGCUCUUUCACCGAUGAAGAUAAUGACGGUAGUCGGAGAAGAAGCCCCGGCUAACUUCGUGCCAGCCGCCGCGGUAA